AGAGUUUGAUCAUGGCUCAGGAUGAACGCUAGCUACAGGCUUAACACAUGCAAGUCGAGGGGAAACGAUAUUGGAAGCUUGCUUCCGAUAGGCGUCGACCGGCGCACGGGUGAGUAACGCGUAUCCAACCUACCCUUGUCCAUCGGAUAACCCGUCGAAAGGCGGCCUAACACGAUAUGCGGUUCACAGCAGGCAUCUAAGGUGAACGAAAUGUGAAGGAGAAGGAUGGGGAUGUGUCUGAUUAGCUUGUUGGCGGGGUAACGGCCACCAAGGCGACGAUCAGUAGGGGUUCUGAGAGGAAGGUCCCCCACAUUGGAACUGAGACACGGUCCAAACUCCUACGGGAGCA
This 349-nucleotide ribosomal RNA is filed under the name uncultured bacterium. RNAcentral describes it as "bacterial SSU rRNA". It matches the Rfam family "Bacterial small subunit ribosomal RNA", at positions 8 to 349 of the family's 1533-position model. The record is from RNAcentral.